AAAUGAGACUUUUGGCCUUAAAAAAUCCACAAAGUCAGAACAUAUUUUGGGUACACCAGACUAUUUGGCGCCAGAACUUUUGCUGGGAUUGCCGCACAGCUACCCCGUGGAUUGGUGGGCGUUGGGUAUAUGCGGUUAUGAAUUUCUUACUGGCUGUCCUCCCUUCAACGGGCCGUCAAUAAGAGACAUAUUUCAAAAAAUUAUUCAGCAUGAUCUUCAUUGGCCGGAAGAUAUCAAUUGUAGUGCUAAUGCCGUCCAUUUAAUUGAGAGUUUACUUCACGUGGACCCAACACAAAGAUUGUCGGCCAAUGAAAUUAAACACCAUAUAUUCUUCAAUAAAAUCGAUUUUAGUCGCAUUUUAGAGGGUAGCGGACCUUUUGUUCCUUCAGUGGCAGACAG
Zophobas morio is the source of this 399-nucleotide long non-coding RNA. RefSeq lists it as uncharacterized. Lineage: Eukaryota; Metazoa; Arthropoda; Insecta; Coleoptera; Tenebrionidae. The record is from RefSeq and is a predicted model, not a curated record. The transcript has 4 exons.